This 499-nucleotide ribosomal RNA is filed under the name uncultured bacterium. Its description in RNAcentral is "partial 16S ribosomal RNA". It matches the Rfam family "Bacterial small subunit ribosomal RNA", at positions 28 to 507 of the family's 1533-position model. The record is from RNAcentral.
GACGAACGCUGGCGGCGUGCUUAACACAUGCAAGUCGAACGGGCCCGCCCCUGUUUUUGGGGGUGGGUUGAGUGGCGAACGGGUUAGUAUCACGUUAGUAACCUGCCCCCUGCUCCUUGAUAACUGCUUGAAAGGGCGGCUAAUACGGGGUGUGCCGGCUGGUCCGCAUGGGCCUGGUCGGGAUAGUUUCAUCUUCGGGUGUUUCGGUGGGGGAUGGGCUCGCGGCCUAUCAGCUUGUUGGUGGGGUGAUGGCCCACCAAGGCGGUGACGGGUAGCCGGCGUGAGAGGGUGGGCGGCCACACUGGGACUGGGACACGGGCGAGAGUGCUGCGGGAGGGAGCAGUGGGGGGUAUUGCAGAGUGGGAGGAAGCCUGAUGGAGCGACGUCGCGUGAGGGAUGGAGGCCUGCGGGUUGAGAACCUCUUUGUCCGGUGGUGAAGGCCCUGUCCGUUGCGGCGGGGUUGACGGUAGCCGGGUAUGAAGCGCCGGCUAACUACGUG